UGUGUUUGCAACAGAAGUUAGCAAAUGGCUAAGGCGAACAUCGUCCAGCCGGCUGGUGAUAAACUUACAUUUAAUCAUGAUGAAUAUAAAUAAACUAGCUGGGUUACUUGGCAGGGUGUUGACCCUUUGCAUGUGACGUCACGCUUUCCAGAGCUCCGCCCACUCCACCAUGGCGGAAGCUAAACAACCAAUGUGCUCCUUUAAAGCUAGUCUAAACACAGACGUCUAUAACCUAAUGUAGCUUUUAUUUAGUUUAUUUCACCUUAGAAAUGGUCAUAGUAUGCAGUGCGGUCAGCUGCACAAACAGACAAGGAUGCAAACCAAACUUGUCAUUUUAUUUUAUAACUUUUAUUGAGGAAAGAUGCGGCGGUGACGGACAGCAGCCCUCUGUGUGAACACGGAUUUGCAGCAAACCUUUUUACAAGCAAACGCAGGAAUCCAGAGUCACCUGAACCUGCUAGAGUGUCCGGUGUCGAACAUGAGGAACCGUCGCUUGGCUGAUCAGCAGAAACAGAAGUAAUCGCAGCCGUCAGACCAUAAAAAGAUUCACCCAAACUGCAGACUCAGAUAUUCUGUCUGCACUGACCGACCGCCGGCUCUGAACCGUCCCGUCACCGGCGCGUCCUCAGCUCACAGUCGGCCUGGCGGAUUGGACGUGGCAGGCGUCCGCUGUCCCCAGCCACAACAGAGACGCAGGCAGAGAGAGAGAAAGCGGCAGACCAGGAGUCAGCAGCGCGAGGCGCAAGGCAAGCCGGGACCAAGUCUGAACUCCAGACGACCCCAAAACGCCGGAGGGUCAGAGCCGAGACAGCAUCAGCCGACACCACAGAGCAUGACUGGACGGGACACUGGUCAGACUGGAUUCACUGGGUCCAUCACUGGUCAGACUGGAUUCACUGGGUUCAUCACUGGUCAGACUGGAUUCACUGGGUUCAUCACUGGGUUCAUCACUGGGUUCACUGGGCCAGUUUAACGGCUGAGAUGUUUUGCUUCAGGUCUUUACUAAAGGCAGGUUUAUGUAUCUGGGUCUGUAGACUGGCCUCAUCUCAGUAUUAAAAUUUAUUUCCAUCUUUAAUUAAUCCAUGGAGAUUGCAGAUUUUUUAAAAUGGCAUUUUUAAUU
Molecule: long non-coding RNA, 1120 nt
Organism: Xiphophorus couchianus (Monterrey platyfish)
Lineage: Eukaryota; Metazoa; Chordata; Actinopteri; Cyprinodontiformes; Poeciliidae
Exons: 3
Source: RefSeq, a predicted model, not a curated record